RNAcentral lists this transfer RNA (65 nucleotides) under Dipodomys ordii (Ord's kangaroo rat). It matches the Rfam family "tRNA". Rfam says of the family: Transfer RNA (tRNA) molecules are approximately 80 nucleotides in length. Their secondary structure includes four short double-helical elements and three loops (D, anti-codon, and T loops). Further hydrogen bonds mediate the characteristic L-shaped molecular structure. tRNAs have two regions of fundamental functional importance: the anti-codon, which is responsible for specific mRNA codon recognition, and the 3' end, to which the tRNAs corresponding amino acid is attached (by aminoacyl-tRNA synthetases). tRNAs cope with the degeneracy of the genetic code in two manners: having more than one tRNA (with a specific anti-codon) for a particular amino acid; and 'wobble' base-pairing, i.e. permitting non-standard base-pairing at the 3rd anti-codon position. The record is from Rfam by way of RNAcentral. Lineage: Eukaryota; Metazoa; Chordata; Mammalia; Rodentia; Heteromyidae.
GGUGGCUCAGCGGUAGAGCACUUGCCUUGCAUGCACGAGACCCUGGGUUCAAUUCCUCAGCACCA